Molecule: long non-coding RNA, 4885 nt
Filed under: Olea europaea (common olive)
Lineage: Eukaryota; Viridiplantae; Streptophyta; Magnoliopsida; Lamiales; Oleaceae
Description: long non-coding RNA (OEUR_LNC010191)
Source: RNAcentral
CUAGAUCACUUAAACCUUUUCCAACUAUUAAACGACUUGGAAUUAAUGCUUAUUUACUUGAGUUGUCAACACCAAUGUUAUCAAAACCGGCCCAGCCCGGCCGGUUCAACUGGUAAAAUCGGGAACCGGGUCCAAAACCAAUCCAAUCAUGCCCGAUUAACCGUUUAUGACUAAACCGCUUAAAAACCCAUCGAACCGGCCAAUUUAACCGUAAACCAGUCGCGGUUUUGUGGUUUUCCCAAUUUUGUGAUUAUUUGAUAUCAAAAUGCACUCAUUAUACUUAUGUUGAUUCAAGUUGCAUUUUGGUAGAAAAGGUGGAAGAUAGAAGAAAAGAGCAAAAAAGGACCAAAGUGGAAGAAAAUGAAAGUUCGGGGACUAAAGUGCAAAUACUCCAAACUUGUGUCUAACCUUAUGAUGAAGAUUCGGAUGUGUUAGAGGUCAAGUGGAUGAGAAAAAAAGUAAAAGGGAAGAAUACUGUCAAAGUUUCAUCACACAUCAAUUCCCAAUCGAAAAAAGUUACGCACAGUUUUCAACCUCAUAUUGGGACCCCUUUUUUUGACAUGUCUAACAAUCGAAUUGGAAGAUGACAUCUGAAGAAAAGUUGUAGCCCUUUAAGUUAGCUUUCCAACGCAACUUGAAUCACCUCAAUCAGACAUCGGGAGGGAAAGUUAUGGCCAAAAUACUAAAAACUGUCCGGCGGAGGAAAUUGUGACAACCAUGCGACCGCAUGGAUUACUACCAAGAACUUAUGGGGGCAUUUUGGCUGAACCAUGCGGCCGCAUGGUUAUUUUCCAAGGGCGAGAUCCCAGGUUCCUAUUUUGACGCGAACAUUUAUGAAAACUUGUUUGGCACACGUUUUAAGCCCUAAUCUCAUCCCAAAACGCCUCUACUCAUCCACACAUCAAUUUUCUUUGGUUUUUGGCUUAAUAAUUCCAUGAAGAACUAAAACCCCUGGUCAAGCUUGGAAGGAACUCAUUGGAUUUGAGGAAAUCACAUCAAUUGUUCAUGUAAUUUGGUAUUUUAUUGUCAAACAAUUCUAGAUUUUAGACUUUCUCCUUAUGAAUUGAUUUUAAAAUUGGUUUAAUUUUCAUUAGAUCUUUCAUAGAGUCAAUCAUGUUUUUUCUAUUGUUUGAUCGAAAUAUUUAUUGAGAUUGCAAUUUCAUUUAUGUUAUUGGUGGGUUAUUUAUGAUCUUAUGCUUGAAGUCUAUGGUUACUUUUGAUCUUACUCCAAUAACAAUUGUGUGAAUGUAUUAGAAAGUCUAAAUCUUAAAAUUACAAUUGGAAUUAAAGUGAUCUUUACUGUUAAAUCUUCUGAUUAGAGAGUUGGGAUGAAAACCUCUAAUUGAGUAAUAAUAUAUGAAUUGUUGAUGUUGAUCGAUCCAACCCAAUUGAGGGAAUCCCAAUGCUUCACUAAUUUCACAUAUUGAUAUUUAAAUUUCAUUCCAAAUUGAUAAACUAGUUUCACAUAACUCCCGAAACCCCUAAGCUUCUAAUCCUUUGAGCAUUUCCCAUCUUCAUGUGGAAUCAACACCCCAAGGUUAUAAUACAAUCACCGCGUUAUACUUUGAGCAUAAUCAGACAUCAUUAUCACCAGGUUCCUAAACAGGUUGAAACCUGACCUCAAACAUCGGGUGGUUGUGCUAAAUCCAGACUCCUAAGAAGAUGCUUUCCACGAGGUCCUCGAACAUGUGUCAUUUUCGUUACGCUCAUGCACGACGUGGCUCUUCUACCUUCCUCGAUCUUCACCAAAUGCAACCCUCCUAUCAGCACCCCUAGUAACGACCCUCGGCCCAACCAAGACCAAACCUGCAUAGCUGUCGAAUCCUCUACUCUAACUAUUCCUCGCGAUACCACGAGUUGUCCGCCUAAUUUGUAUAACUCCUCUCAAAGACCCACAUCUCAAUCUUAUGUCAUAAUUAUCAUAGUCGAGGACAUUUUGCCUCUUGAUGUCCCCAUCGUACCCUCGCCCUUAACCAGAAACCUAGGUUGUCGACUCUAGAGACUAACGAGUUUCAUGGUCGACCCUAUUGAUUCUGAUAAGAAUAUUAACCAAUUUAAAGAUUACAAGGAUGUCGCAGCUAUCUUAUCUGUUAUGAAUUGCAUUCCCUACCUCCUUGACUCUGAUUCGUGGAAACAGGCUUCUUUCACGCUUACAUCCCUUGCAUCGCUUUUGCAAGUUAGUAAUUGAGGUGGUAGCACCAUGAAUGUCAUCUCCAAGUCUGCAGUGGCCACGUUCUACUUUAAACCUGAACCACACCCUCAACCUUUCAAGUUCGCUUGGGUUUAUUGUACUUCCCUUCUAGUUACUCAUCUUUGUUUGGUACCACUUAAGUUGGGCUCAUUCUUCUUAGAAAACAUUUACUACGAUGUCCUACCUAUGGAUAUCACUCAUAUCCUCUUAAGGUAUCUCUGGCUUUACAACGAUGUUAAGCACUUCAAGCGUAACUACUUAAGAGUUUGUUCAUAAUGGCAAACCCAUUCGUCUCCUUCCUACGAAGCACUCUAACUCCCGAAGAAAUCAACUCCCAUCUCAACAUCCACAAGUGUUGCUGACACUUGAAUUCAACUUUUGUCCCUUAACGACUUUGAGCGUGAGGGUCAUGACACCGGGCUUGUGUUUGCCUUGGUUGCCAAACCAUCUUCAUAUUCCAAUUUGACUCCUAUAUCGACUUUCCACAUGAGGUAAAUCCUUUGUUACAUAAGUUUAGUGAUAUCUCCCUUGUCGACCUCCUCGACGAGUUUCCUCCUUUGUGGGAUAUUGAACAUGCCACGGGCAAGUUAAACUUAACUAGAUAGAGGUUUUAUUCGCCUUAACCUUAGCCCUUGUGUGGUCCCAGUUUUACUCACCGUAAAAAAAGAUGGCUCUUGGCACAUGUACGUCGAUAGUCGUGCAAUCAACAAAAUCAUUGUUAAGCAUCGAUUUCUUAUUCCGCAUCUUGAGUAUAUGUUAGAUGAAUUGGCAAGGUCUGUGUGAUUUUCCAAGAUUGAUUUAUGGAGUGGUUAUCAUCAAGUCAGAACUCGACCAUGGGACGAAUUGAAUACAAUAUUUAAAACUCAAGAUAGUUUGUACAAGUGAGUUAUGCCUUUUGAGAUGUCGAAUGCACCUAGGACUUUUAUGCGUGUCACGACCCAUGUCUUACAACCUUUUAUUGUUAAGUUUCUGGUGGUCUAUUUUGAUGAUAUUUUGAUUUAUAGUUGGUCAUAAGAGGCACAUUUUUUUUUAAUCAGCUCUAUUGUCCGUGUAUUAUCGUCAAAACAGCGGCUAUUUCCCUCCCCCCACAUUCACCAGAUAAUGCAUCCUGAGAUAAGGUCCCAAACUAUCCUUACUCUUUGUUCGGCACGGUUAUAUGCUAACCCUAAAAAGUGUUCAUUCCUACAAUCUCAAGUUCUCUUUCUAGGGUUCAUCAUUUCCACCCAAGGUAUUUGUGCUCAUCUAACUAAAAUAUCGGUUAUUCGCAACUAGCCUGAACCUACAACAUUAUUUGAGGUGUAGAUAUAGGUGGUGUCUUAAGUCCGGAUGGUAACCCCAUUGCCUAUUUUAGCGAAAAACUAAAUUAGGCUCGACAAAAGUAUUCUACCUAUGACAAGUUCUAUGUCGUUGUCCAAUCUCUCCAUCAUCGGCAAUAUUAUUUAUUGCCUCAAGAGUUUGCUCUCUAUUUUGAUCAUCAAGCUCUUCGCUACCUUAAUUCCUAGCGUAAUUUAAGUAAGCGCCAUGUUAAGUGGGUUGAAUUUCUUCAAGAGUACACGUUUGUUCUCCAUAACCUAGCUGGGUCGCAAAUAAAGCAACCGGCGCAUGUAAUCGUAUCACUACGGUGCUUCAUUCUGUGGGCAAUACUUUGGUGGAUUUUGAGCGCCCGAAUAAUGAUUAUUCUAGUUAUCCUGAUUUUUGCAUGAUCUUUCAAGAACUCUUGGAUAGUCCUUCUCAAGAUUAUGUUGCUUUCUUACUUAAAGAUGGUUAUCUUUUUAAAGGCACGAAGUUGUGUUCCCCAUACCUCAGUUCGUGACUUUCUGAUAUGGGAACUACAUGCAAGGGGUCUAGCUAGUCAUUUUGGUCGAGAUAAAACUAUUGCUUUAGUUGAGGAUCGAAUUUAUUGGCCUUCACUUAAAAAGGAUGUUGUUGGCACUGUUUCUCGGUGUCGCCGAUGUUAAUUAGGCAAAGCUCAACGUUAAAACACCGGUAUGUAUACUCUCCUUCCUGAGACACUUUGGAAACUGUUUGGAAUGACACUCAAGUUUUCAUCCGCAUUCCACCUCCAAAUCGACAAUCAAACUAAGGUUGUGAAUCGUAGUUUAGGUAAUCUACCCAAUUGCUUGGUUGGGUAUAAACCGGGUAAUUGAGAUAUUAUGUUGCCAACUCUAAGUUUGCUUACGAUAAUUCAAUGCUGUCAUAACCCAUUCGAGCUCCCCAUCAGCUAAUUGAUCUUGUCCUUUUGCCUAUCAAUUUUUGGCCUGUUUCAUCCACUCAAGCUUUAGUUGAUCAUAUUCUCAGCAUGCAUGAUGAGAUUAAACGUAAAAUUCUUUAAGUAAUGAUCUCUAUAAACUUACGGUUGACUCUCACCAUCGGCACAAAGAAUUAAUGUAAGCGACUAUAUCGUCAUACAAAUUACAACUGAAAGAUUUCCUAAUCAAGUUGCAAAGAAACUUUGUGCUAGAUCACUUAAACCUUUUCCAACUAUUAAACGACUUGGAAUUAAUGCUUAUUUACUUGAGUUGUCAACACCAAUGUUAUCAAAACCGGCCCAGCCCGGCCGGUUCAACUGGUAAAAUCGGGAACCGGGUCCAAAACCAAUCCAAUCAUGCCCGAUUAACCGUUUAUGACUAAACCGCUUAAAAACCCAUCGAACCGGCCAAUUUAACCGUAAACCAGUCGCGGUUUUGUGGUUUU